UUUGGCAUACAAAGUGGUCUGACUGCAGAAGCAGUGGAGCAGUUGGCCAAGGAGCACGAGAGAUGCAGCAAGGAGCUGCAGCAGGCCUAUGCUGAACUCAACCGACGAAUAACGGAGCAUGACAAGUGC
Non-coding RNA from Python bivittatus (Burmese python), 129 nucleotides. Lineage: Eukaryota; Metazoa; Chordata; Lepidosauria; Squamata; Pythonidae. The record is from RefSeq and is a predicted model, not a curated record.